This 149-nucleotide small RNA is filed under the name Yersinia kristensenii. RNAcentral's name for it is "PepN 5' UTR thermometer". It matches the Rfam family "PepN 5' UTR thermometer". From Rfam's summary of the family: Position upstream of pepN gene responsible for amino acid processing. The record is from RNAcentral. Lineage: Bacteria; Pseudomonadati; Pseudomonadota; Gammaproteobacteria; Enterobacterales; Yersiniaceae.
CUAUCUGAGUCCAGGAUGAAGUCACUGAUAGCGGUGCUUUGAACCUGAUUUUAUGAGCCAAAACGGCCAUAAAUAUAGACUUGAUAAUCAUAUUCACUGAUGACGUCAAAAGGGUUUCUAUGACACAACAGCCGCAAGCUAAAUACCGU